This 258-nucleotide ribosomal RNA is filed under the name uncultured bacterium. RNAcentral describes it as "partial small subunit ribosomal RNA". It matches the Rfam family "Bacterial small subunit ribosomal RNA", at positions 26 to 288 of the family's 1533-position model. The record is from RNAcentral.
AGGACGAACGCUGGCGGCGUGCUUAACACAUGCAAGUCGAGCGGAAAGGCCCUUCGGGGUACUCGAGCGGCGAACGGGUGAGUAACACGUGAGCAACCUGCCCCUGGCUCUGGGAUAGCCUCCGGAAACGGGGAUUAAUACCGGACAUUCACUUCCUUCCGCAUGGUUGGUGGUGGAAAGUUUUUCGGCCGGGGAGGGGCUCGCGGUCUAUCAGCUUGUUGGCGGGGUAACGGCCCACCAAGGCGACGACGGAUAGCC